ACAGGAUAUUACUGCAUUGGUUAAAUUACAUCAAAGACCAAUUGAAGGAAACUCUGAAGAGUACUGGUACAGACCAAAAUUCCUGGGAAAUGGCGUCCAACCAGCACACUGUUGAGCAAUAACAGAGCAAUAAGCGAAUAAACUAAAAAGAGAUGAUAGAGGAAAUUUUAAUAUAAAUAAGUGGGUGACUAGGUAAGUAUGACAGUACUUACUAGCUGUUGAAAGAGUGAAGAAACAAACCAAACAAUAACAAUCUGCUUUCCCCUGAAACCCCAGAAUUAGUCAGCCCAUAUAUUUUUAUAAGCUAAGUUUUUAUUAGCACAAUGUUCAGAUGUUCAAGAAUCGGUAAUAUCAAAUUAAUUAAGUACAACCAAAUUAAUGUUUAUUGAACCACAACUGAAAAACAGAACCAAAAUCUUUCAAAAAUAACUCUUGAUCUGUAAUGGAAAUCUUUAAUGAAUUUUGAAAGCAU
Octopus sinensis (East Asian common octopus) is the source of this 472-nucleotide long non-coding RNA. RefSeq lists it as uncharacterized. The record is from RefSeq and is a predicted model, not a curated record. NCBI's taxonomy places the organism in Eukaryota, Metazoa, Mollusca, Cephalopoda, Octopoda, Octopodidae. The transcript is spliced from 3 exons.